GACGAACGCUGGCGGCGUGCUUAACACAUGCAAGUCGAACGGAAAGGCCCUGCUUUGGUGGGGUGCUCGAGUGGCGAACGGGUGAGUAACACGUGAGUAACCUGCCCUUGACUUUGGGAUAACUUCAGGAAACUGGGGCUAAUACCGGAUAGGAGCUCCUGCUGCAUGGUGGGGGUUGGAAAGUUUGGGCGGUUGGGGAUGGACUCGCGGCUUAUCAGCUUGUUGGUGGGGUAGUGGCUUACCACGGCUUUGACGGGUAGCCGGCCUGGGAGGGUGACCGGCCACCUUGGGCCUGAGAUACGGCCCAGAAUCCUACGUGAGGCAGCGGUGGGGAAUAUUGCACAGUGGGCGGAAGCCUGAUGCGACAACUCCGCGUGCGGGAUGACGGCCUUCGGGUUGUAAACCGCUUUCGCAUGUAACGAAGCGUGAGUGACGGUAAUGGGUAAAGAAGCACCGGCUAACUACGUG
RNAcentral lists this ribosomal RNA (468 nucleotides) under uncultured bacterium. RNAcentral describes it as "partial 16S ribosomal RNA". It matches the Rfam family "Bacterial small subunit ribosomal RNA", at positions 28 to 507 of the family's 1533-position model. The record is from RNAcentral.